UUUUUUUUGUAAUAUUGGAGUAUUAAUCAAGAGAAGCUAACAAAUUUAACUUAAACAAUCCAACAAAUUAGCAUCCCUACUCUAAAUAAAGAUACCAGUUUUAGAGGACACAAUCCUAAAUGUCAGAAUGUUAUAUGUACUUAACAAGAUAUCCUAGACAAGCACCAACAAAUACUAAAAGAACCUACAUUAUCCUAAACAAAGUCACAUAAAACAGAUAAUUGCUCAGUGGCAAACGACUUGAGAUCAAUCUUUGGUUGUUUUGUUGAUCAGAGAU
This 277-nucleotide unclassified non-coding RNA is filed under the name Hevea brasiliensis (rubber tree). The record is from RNAcentral. Lineage: Eukaryota; Viridiplantae; Streptophyta; Magnoliopsida; Malpighiales; Euphorbiaceae.